Molecule: long non-coding RNA, 1837 nt
Organism: Gossypium arboreum
Lineage: Eukaryota; Viridiplantae; Streptophyta; Magnoliopsida; Malvales; Malvaceae
Exons: 5
Source: RefSeq, a predicted model, not a curated record
GUCUAAGCUUUAAUUAACCAAAAUUUCAGUUAAAUUAAUUUCAAUUCAUCUAUUCGCUAACUUCAUAAAUAUCCCUUUCUCCGUUUGGAAGCCAGGAAAAUAUUUUCCGAAAAAUAUUUUCCUGAUUUUACAGUGUUUGGAAGCAUGAAAAUUUUCCAAGAGACGGGUAAAAUCUCAGUCAUUUUAGGGAAAAUGUCUUAUCGAUUUUUUUUCUGUAAGACAUUUUCCAUCUCCUUCUUCGUCCAGUCUUCUCAGUGUUGUCUAAAUGGCGUCUUUGAGCUUCUUUUGCCCUUCUGAUACGGUUCAGUGAUUGAGCAUUUUCAGAGAAGAGAGGGGUUGAAAGAGAUGAUAAAAGGAGUAAUUUUUUAUUCAGGAUCAGCUGACCCUUUAAAUCCUAAGGUUCUUAUUUAUGAUGUUCUUAAUGUUCUUAGACUUAUUUAUGAUGUUCUUAAUGUUCUUAGACGAAUGAUUACAGUUCACAGUAAGCUUUUAAGUUUUGAAAUGAAUGUUUUAUAUCAAAUUAUAAACAGAGUUCUUUAGCUUAUGCUGCUCAUGGAACUAGGUUUGGAGACUUGCAUACGGCAUAAACUACUAGCAACUUCAGGUGAAAUUGUAAUUGUCUUCUCUACAAAGCUGUCAUUAAUAUUGUUGCUGUGACCACCUCAUGUUUAAUGUUUUACAUUAUAAUAUGCAUAAAGCAAAUUGAAUUUGUUCAAAACUCCAUAAAAAGUGGAUACUUAGACUAUUAUUUUCUUGUCAUCUUUAAUGUUUUUGAGCAAGGUUCAAAAUUUCAAUAAAAUGCAGCCCAAUUUUAGAUUUUUACUUUCCUGUGGUAUCUAUAUUUUGAAUCUUUAUGUAUUAGCUUAUGUUUCCUAGUAAAAGCAAAUCCAAUAUCCCAUCAAAAAAUAAUACAUCUAAAAAUAACUCUGGGGAUGACUGCCUUGAUGUGGUCCUUUUAGUGGAAAUGAUAACUUGUUACUAUGUUUAGGUUAUCACUAUUUGUAUCAGUGGUACCGUUCAGUCGAAAGUGAGCAUUUUCCAGAUCCUAGUGGUUUUCGUUCUCGUAUGGAGCAAUGGACAUUUGGCCUCUCUCCAGCAUGUAUCAAGUAUCGCAUGUCCGCAUUUGAUGUUCCAGAGGUUAUGGCUGUCACCCGAAGCAAUAUUUGCAAGAAUGGAAUACAGGCGCUGUCCCGAAGGGGUGCUGUCAUAUAUUAUGCUUCAGUCUUCCUUUACUUCUGAGUUUUCUCGACCCCUGUGAUUUCUUUGGUGUUCGGAAGCUACUUGUAUAUCUGCAUUAACUGGUUUCAUCUACACUUUGACGAGGCAUUCUCUUCUCUCAGAAUUUCUAAUUACAAGUCAUUCACACGAUUCCACAUCAACGUGAUGGUGAUCUUGAAGUUUUCACUCUUGCAGUCGAUAAGGUUCCAAGGGAAUGGAUGUUGGAUUCUGAUUGGGAUAUGGAGUAGAAGCAGCCACAACAGUUGAGCCAUAGGAGACAUACCCUAGCAAAUAGAGUGCAGCAGCAAGGCAGCAGGAUUCAAUGAAUACAGUCACGGUGGUUGACCAUUUUGUUAUAAGACAAAAUGAGAAACCUGAUUUUGUAUCAAGUAAUGGAUCAGUUAGUCGCUGAUCUUUGUUGUAACAUCAUUCUAAUUUCUUAAAUAUAGGCAGCAAUGAAGGGAAUGUAUAUACGUCAAAUUUCAUAGUUGUUUAGAUGGACUAACAUCAUUCAAAUGUUAAAUGUUAAUGCAGCUAAUAGUGGUUUUUCACAGCCAUAUCAUGCUUUGUAGUUGAGGGAUUUUUAAAUGGAAGCUUAAAAUUGAGCUUUUGCUUAGAA